CCCGCCAGAGAACUACAAGUGAAAAACUUAAAACUCAAAGGACUUGGCGGUGUCCCACAUUCAGUCUAGAGGAGCCUGUCCUAUAAUCGAUACCCCUCGUUCUACCCAACCCCAACUAGCAUUACCAGCUUAUAUACCGCCGUCGACAGCUUACCCCAUGAGGGUAUAAUAGUAAGCACAAUAGCCCCCGCUAACACGUCAGGUCAAGGUGUAGCUAAUGUUGCGGCAGAGAUUGGCUACAUUUUUUAUACUAAAAAAUAACGGAAUGUUACAUGAAAACUAACAUAAAGGCGAAUUUAGUAGUAAAGUAAACAAGAGAGUCUACUUUAAUAAUGCUCUGGGACGCGCACACACC
RNAcentral lists this ribosomal RNA (355 nucleotides) under Psammodromus occidentalis. RNAcentral's name for it is "partial 12S ribosomal RNA". It matches the Rfam family "Bacterial small subunit ribosomal RNA", at positions 868 to 1391 of the family's 1533-position model. The record is from RNAcentral. Lineage: Eukaryota; Metazoa; Chordata; Lepidosauria; Squamata; Lacertidae.